This is a non-coding RNA of Caenorhabditis elegans, 105 nucleotides long. The record is from Ensembl. NCBI's taxonomy places the organism in Eukaryota, Metazoa, Nematoda, Chromadorea, Rhabditida, Rhabditidae.
GAAAUGUGUAAAACGAGACUUCGAGUAAUAAAAACGCCGGGCGCGUUUUGAAUUGAUCAAGGGGCACCCUGUGUGUGUGUGUGUGGAGCACAAGCUGUUGGGAUG